UUUUGAAGCGAGUUAUGCGCCUUUGAAGUUGGAGGUGAGACGCAGACAGCGAGACAGUCGUUUUCUCUGCCGCCUCUCACUCUCUCAUCUCCAACUUGAAAGGCGCAUAACUCGCUUCAAAA
RNAcentral lists this small RNA (122 nucleotides) under Caenorhabditis brenneri. Its description in RNAcentral is "sRNA CBN34312". The record is from RNAcentral. Lineage: Eukaryota; Metazoa; Nematoda; Chromadorea; Rhabditida; Rhabditidae.